AAUCUUUCAUCUCUCUCAAAUUUCUCGAAACAUAUCAUUUUUUUUCAGUCAAAGUCAAACAUGGCUAGUAACUCUCAUAAGCUCCAUGUUAUGUUCUUCCCUAUCAUGGCUCAUGGUCACAUGAUACCAACUCUAGACAUGGCUAAGCUAUUCUCCAGCAGAGGAGCCAAGUCCACUAUUCUAACCACACCUCUCAACGCCAAGAUCCUCCAGAAACCCAUCGACAUAUUCAAGAACCUCAAUCCGAGUCUCCAAAUCGAGAUCCAGAUUUUGGAUUUUCCUUGCGUCCAGCUCGGGUUACCAGAAGGAUGCGAAAACGCUGACUUCUUCACCUUAACCAACAACAUUGAUGAUAGACGCGCCAUGAUCUCCAAAUUCUUUUUGGCGACCAGGUUUUUCAAAGACCAGCUUGAGAAGCUCCUCGAGACCAGGAGACCAGACUGUCUUAUCGCCGACAUGUUCUUCCCGUGGGCUACUGAAGCUGCUGAGAAGUUCCAUGUGCCAAGACUUGUGUUCCACGGCACUGGCUACUUCUCUUUAUGCGCUAGUUAUUGCAUCAGAGUGCAUAACCCACAGAAGAGAGUAGCUACAAGUAGCGAGCCAUUUGUGAUCCCUGAUCUCCCAGGGAACAUUGUGAUAACUCGAGGACAGAUCUUAGACCGUGGUGAAGACACCGAGAUGGGGAAGUUUAUGACCGAGGUUUUAGAAUCAGAAGCGAAGAGCUCAGGUGUUGUUGUGAACAGCUUCUACGAGCUUGAACCUGACUAUGCUGAUUUUUACAAGAGUAGUGUAGCAAAGAGAGCGUGGCAUAUUGGUCCGCUCUCGGUUCACAACAGAGGAUUUGAGGAGAAGGCUGAGAGAGGAAAGAAAGCAAGCAUUGAUGAAGCUGAAUGCCUCAAGUGGCUUGACUCCAAGAAACCAGAUUCAGUCGUUUACAUUUCAUUUGGGAGCGUGGCUAACAUCAAGAACGAGCAGACGUGGGAGCCACAAAGCAUGUGAAAGCUAUGGAAGAUGAUAUCAUUAGUAGAGAGAAAGUAGAGAAGGCGGUGAGAGAGGUCUUGGUUGGGGUAGAGGCGGAGGAGAGGCGUAAACGGGCGAAGAAGCUGGCGGAGAUGGCUAAAGCUGCGGUGGAAGAAGGAGGGUCUUCUUUUAACGAUCUAAACAACUUCAUAAAAGAGUUCAGCUCAUGAUGAUUCUUCGUAUAGAGUUUUGGUUACAACUCUUAUAUUGGGAAUAAGACAAAACCUAAUGUAAUAUUCAAGGAAUAUAGGUUAAUCAAUCUUUCAUUUUCACUUGAGCGAGCUAGUAUGAAUUUGUAUCUAGAAGCGGCAGUCAAUAAUUUUCCCAACUGUUUGAUUCUAAGAGGCGCCAAAAAUUCUGGUACAUGUUUAAAUCACGUCUUAAUUACAUUUGUCAAAGAUCCACCAACGUUAAGACUUGAGAGAUUUCAUAAAAAAAAAACAAGAGUUAAAGACAGAUGUGCGUUUUGAGAAAGUGGUGACACAUGAUCUUGUCUUGUUACAUGCACAUGCAUGCGUAAGAUUUGACUUUUCUUUGUUGGUAUGGAACCGAAAGAGCAGUUAAACUUUAUGAUAUAGAUAUACAAAUAAUACUCUCUAAAUAGCAUCAACAUUAAUUAUUACAUAUUGAUAACCUAUUAGAAUAUUUUUUUUAUUAAGAUAUAAACUCAUAUUGACUGUUUUAACAAAAGCGACAGCAUAAUUUCAAGUUAUACAUUAUACUAGUCAAUUAAUUAAAAAAAUUACUCAAAAUAUCAACAUAAUUGUAGAUUUUGAAUUGAUUUUCACUGAGACUUGAUCUAAACUAGUGGAGCGUGCCGGAUGAUGGUCAAACGAAACUAAUUAAGAAACAAUUAGUUUGAGUUAUUUCAUAUGAAUCGGUAUAAAAUAUAUAAAUUAAAAAAAAAUUGGUUCCACGAUACCUUGAAAACAGAUACUAGAUUCCAAAAAACCCAAAAUCAGUGACGUAUGCAAAGACGUCAGGUUCAUUAAACCAAAACGUUUCUUGUAUGUUAUAUAAAUAGAGAGAUGCAUAACCAACUCUUCUACAAGCUUCAGAAUCUUUCAUCUCUCUCAAAUUUCUCGAAACAUAUCAUUUUUUUUCAGUCAAAGUCAAACAUGGCUAGUAACUCUCAUAAGCUCCAUGUUAUGUUCUUCCCUAUCAUGGCUCAUGGUCACAUGAUACCAACUCUAGACAUGGCUAAGCUAUUCUCCAGCAGAGGAGCCAAGUCCACUAUUCUAACCACACCUCUCAACGCCAAGAUCCUCCAGAAACCCAUCGACAUAUUCAAGAACCUCAAUCCGAGUCUCCAAAUCGAGAUCCAGAUUUUGGAUUUUCCUUGCGUCCAGCUCGGGUUACCAGAAGGAUGCGAAAACGCUGACUUCUUCACCUUAACCAACAACAUUGAUGAUAGACGCGCCAUGAUCUCCAAAUUCUUUUUGGCGACCAGGUUUUUCAAAGACCAGCUUGAGAAGCUCCUCGAGACCAGGAGACCAGACUGUCUUAUCGCCGACAUGUUCUUCCCGUGGGCUACUGAAGC
This 2560-nucleotide long non-coding RNA is filed under the name Brassica napus (rape). RNAcentral's name for it is "long non-coding RNA (BNAP_LNC014508)". The record is from RNAcentral. Lineage: Eukaryota; Viridiplantae; Streptophyta; Magnoliopsida; Brassicales; Brassicaceae.